This 396-nucleotide long non-coding RNA is filed under the name Triticum aestivum (bread wheat). RNAcentral's name for it is "long non-coding RNA (TAES_LNC021939)". The record is from RNAcentral. Lineage: Eukaryota; Viridiplantae; Streptophyta; Magnoliopsida; Poales; Poaceae.
CGAGAUCAAAAUUGUCAAAUUUGCAGUAAAAAGGAUCAUCUCACGGCCUACAAAAUCAACCGCCCCCGUCCGUCUUUCCAAAUCCCUGUAAACGGACGCUCUUCCACUUGCAGAACAACUAUUGUGCUGCUAUUAACAACGGAUCCAGAAAAUCAGCUGCCUUGGAUAGAGUUGGGGAGGUUAACGAGCCCCUGAAAAUCAAGCCAAUCAAUCAGUCCGGCACAUCAGACCCUGCCUACGACGCGAGGAGAGAAAGACGGCAACAGCCAAGCGACGGAGCGAGGGCCUCACCUUGUCCUUCUUCGAGGGCGGCGGCGUUCCGUCCGUGCCGGCUUGACGGCGGCUCGGGAUAACCCUAGACUAGGCGAGAUGCCAACCGCCCACCGCAGAGCAGGA